AUGAGAACAGCUGCUGCCGGCUCUGAGCCCACGGCACGUGGGCUUUCUGGGUGCAGCGCGGGGCGGCCUGCUUCGAGUGUCCCGUUGUCCCCCCGUCCCACACGGCCGCCUCUCCCGAGCCCUCUUUUCUCUCUUUCCUUUUCAGCCGGAGAAGAUACACAAAAGAACGGCGUAGUGCUUUCCAAGCAAAGCACAGCGCACUCAGGAGACGCACACGCCAGCAGGAGGCCGCACCCAUGGCAGGUGGAAGCUCCCGGGUCGGGGGCUGAACCCAUGCACAGCAGGGACAACCGUAUUUUGGAAAAGGACAGCAUCCUUUCCUAGGCUGCCCAGAUGCCACAGGUGGUUCUCCAGGCUGCGUCUGACCUGCACGUCCUGAAUUUCGUGGUGUUGUCCUGAGUCGGAGGGACGUUUUACAGGUAGGAGCCCAGCUGUGACGUGCCGGCUGCUCCCUGUGGCGACGUACUUCUGCCAGCAGCCCUGUCUUCCGGUGAGUGACCCAGGGGCCGUCCUGCUGCUGGAUCGGCAUCCGGGGGCGUCCACACCGCCAAGGGGAGACUGGGCCCAUGGGGACAGGAGGGCGGGCGGGCUUGGCCACCUGUCCAGACAGGAUUCUCUUCGAAAGCCUGGACAUGCAGGGUCUCUGCGUUCACCUGCACAUAGUAGGCCUUCUCUGACUUGCCGCUGCCGCCCUGUUCCAGGUAAUAAGAGCCUUUGCCUUAAGGGGAAACAGGUCCUAUUUUCCCUCCUUCGCGGCACCCUCCUAAGCGUGAAUGAGUGACUCAAGCAGCUCACACAGUCUGAGGACCUUUCCAGUGGUCAGGCCGGAGUCUCGAUGCUAUAGCUGCUUAAAUUUUCUUAAAGACCGAUUCUUGGGAUUUUAGCUAGCUGCCGAUUUUUCUCAAACAUUUUCUUUUUUAGAGCAAUUUUAGGUUCAUGGUGAAACUGAAGGGAGGUGCAGAGGUUUCCCAUAUGCCCCUGCCCCCCAGCCUCCCCACCAUCAACGACCCCACCGGAUGGGGCGUCUGUGACAACGGAGGAGCUCCCUGGACGCGUCCUCGUCCCUGCAGUGCGUGGUCUGCGCUGUGCUCCCCUCCCAGUGCUGAGCGUCCUGUGGUUUGGACAAACAUGCACUGACAGGCACCCCCCGCGUCACAUGGAGUCGUCUUGUGGCCCACGAAUCCUCUGAGCUCUGCCUGGUCACCUCUCCCUCCCUGCUACCUGCUGGAGACCCUGGGCUUUUCCUGCCUCCAUAGUUUUUCUGUAAUGUCACAGUGUGGGAGCCACACUCUGGAGCCGGGGGUUCUCUCACUUAGCAGUGGCAUUCAAGCUCCUAUGUGCUUUUCUAUGACCUGAUAGCUCGAUUCUUUUUAGCGCUGAAUGAUAUUCCGUCAUCUGGGUGGACCACAAUUUAUUUAUCCAUCACCUCCUGGAGGACAUCUUGGCUGCUUCCACGUUUUGGCAGUUUAGGAAUGAAGUUCCUGUAAAUGUUCACACAGGGUUUUGUGUAGAUGGAAGUUUUCACCUCCUUUGGGGCAAUACCAGGGGGUUGAUGCCUGGGUCCAAGAUGAGACUCCUGUGAGUUGCACUGGAAACUGCCAGACUGUCUUCCAGGGGGCUGGGCCCCGCUUCGUUCCCACCAGCAGUGAAGGAGGGCUCCUCUCACCCUGUAUCCUCACCGGCGUCUGCGUCUCGGUGAUCCGGAUUCUGGCCCCCCUAACGGGUGCGGUGGUGUCUCACGGUCAUUGUGACGUGCCUUUCCCUGACGACGGCGGAGGUGGAGCCUCUCUUCAUGUGCUCGUUGCACGUCUGCAUCUCGUCUUUGAUGAGGUGUCUGUUAAGUUGUUUGGCCCAUGUGUUAAUUGGCUUGUUUUCUUUUUCAGAGUUUUUUGUAUAUUUUGGAUAAUAGUCCUUUUUGCAAAGAUUUUUCUCCCAGUCUAUGGCUGUCUUCCCGUUUUGUUGACACUGUCUUUCACGGAGCAGAAAUUCUUAGUUUUAAUGAAAGCCGGCUUCUCACCUGUGUCUUUUAUAGAUCAUCUAGGUUUUCUCUUAUCUUUUGGGAGGUUUAUAAUUUUCAUUUUGCAUCUAGGUCUGUGAUCCUUUUUGAGUUCAUUUUUGUAAAGACGGAAGGCUGUGUCUAGAUGCACUUUUUUGCACGUGGACAACCAGUUGUUCAGCAUGUUUGUUGAAAAGACCGUCUUUGCUCCAUUGUGUUGUCUUUGCUCCUUUGUCAGAGAUCAGUUGCCUGUAUGUACACGGGUCUAUUUCUGGGCUCUCCACUCUGCUCCAUUGAUCACUUGAGCUUCUUUCACCAACGCCACACCGUCUUGAUGACUGUCGCUUUAGGGGAAGUCUUGAGGUUGGGUCGUGUCAGCUCUCCAACUUUGUUCUCUUUCGAUACUGUGCCCACUAAUGCUUUUUUAGAAACUUACUUUUGAAAUGAAAUGAACUGAGAUACAGAGAAAUACAACUUUGAAUCAUAAGAGACCAACAGUACCCUGGGCAUUUUAAUUUCAGGAGUAUUUUCCUGGAACUCAUUCCAGAAAUAGACAAAGAAAGGGGGGAAAGCUAAGGAAGGAUUUAUGUGCAUUUUUUCCCUCCUUGGUAAGUCCUGUGUUUCAACUCCCACUUGUCACACUGAACCACAUUAUCUGAUACUGAUACUUGAAAAUCAAGAAUCAUGCAUUCACAUAUAAAUGCAAAGUUAUUUUCUUAGAAAUUCAAGGAGCAAAUCAGCUGUCAAUAAGCUUUUAGAAGGAGAGUCAAGGAUUGCUAAGAAUGUGCGUAUGAGAGAGCCUUUCUAGUAAUAUUUGAGACCCUUUUUGCAACACCUGUUCUAAACUAAAUAAAACAUUGUAUGAAGCCUCUGGAGCA
RNAcentral lists this long non-coding RNA (2874 nucleotides) under Sus scrofa (pig). RNAcentral's name for it is "lncRNA (ENSSSCG00040012498.1)". Lineage: Eukaryota; Metazoa; Chordata; Mammalia; Artiodactyla; Suidae. The record is from RNAcentral.